RNAcentral lists this ribosomal RNA (522 nucleotides) under uncultured Propionibacterium sp. RNAcentral's name for it is "bacterial SSU rRNA". It matches the Rfam family "Bacterial small subunit ribosomal RNA", at positions 383 to 916 of the family's 1533-position model. The record is from RNAcentral. Lineage: Bacteria; Bacillati; Actinomycetota; Actinomycetes; Propionibacteriales; Propionibacteriaceae.
CUGAUGCAGCACGCCGCGUGCGGGAUGACGGCCUUCGGGUUGUAAACCGCUUUCGCCUGUGACGAAGCGUGAGUGACGGUAAUGGGUAAAGAAGCACCGGCUAACUACGUGCCAGCAGCCGCGGUGAUACGUAGGGUGCGAGCGUUGUCCGGAUUUAUUGGGCGUAAAGGGCUCGUAGGUGGUUGAUCGCGUCGGAAGUGUAAUCUUGGGGCUUAACCCUGAGCGUGCUUUCGAUACGGGUUGACUUGAGGAAGGUAGGGGAGAAUGGAAUUCCUGGUGGAGCGGUGGAAUGCGCAGAUAUCAGGAGGAACACCAGUGGCGAAGGCGGUUCUCUGGGCCUUUCCUGACGCUGAGGAGCGAAAGCGUGGGGAGCGAACAGGCUUAUAUACCCUGGUAGUCCACACUGUAAACGGUGGGUACUAGGUGUGGGGUCCAUUCCACGGGUUCCGCGCCGUAGCUAACGCUUUAAUUACCCCGGCUGGGGAGUACGGCCGCAAGGCUAAAACUCAUAGGAAUUGACGG